RNAcentral lists this ribosomal RNA (253 nucleotides) under uncultured bacterium. Its description in RNAcentral is "partial 16S ribosomal RNA". It matches the Rfam family "Bacterial small subunit ribosomal RNA", at positions 524 to 776 of the family's 1533-position model. The record is from RNAcentral.
UACCGAGGGUGCGAGCGUUAAUCGGAAUUACUGGGCGUAAAGCGUGCGUAGACGGUUAUGUAAGUCGGGUGUGAAAGCCCCGGGCUCAACCUGGGAAUUGCAUUCGAGACUGCAUAGCUAGGAUGCGGAAGAGGGAAGUGGAAUUUCCGGUGUAGCGGUGAAAUGCGUAGAUAUCGGAAGGAACAUCAGUGGCGAAAGCGACUUCCUGGUCCAGCAUCGACGUUCAGGCACGAAAGCGUGGGGAGCAAACAGG